CGUAGGUAUGGUGCAGGGGCGGCGGGAAUGCGGAGGGGGGGAGCGGUGGCGGGUAGUAGUGGGGGUAAGUGGCUGGGAGGCGGGUGGUCGCGUCUGCGGGGAAAAGCCGGGGCUCAAGCCCGGACGUGCAGGGGGGACGGGCAGACUAGAGUGUGGGAGGGGAGACUGGAAUGCCUGGUGUAGAGGUGAAAUGCGCAGAUAUCAGGAGGAACAACGAUGGCGAAGGCAGGUCGCUGGGCCACUACUGACGCUGAGAAGCGAAAGCAUGGGGAGCGAACAGGAUUAGAUACCCGGGUAGUC
RNAcentral lists this ribosomal RNA (300 nucleotides) under uncultured Aeropyrum sp. RNAcentral's name for it is "bacterial SSU rRNA". The stretch from base 57 to 300 matches the Rfam family "Bacterial small subunit ribosomal RNA", at positions 552 to 795 of the family's 1533-position model. The record is from RNAcentral. Lineage: Archaea; Thermoproteati; Thermoproteota; Thermoprotei; Acidilobales; Acidilobaceae.